GAGUAAUGUCUGGGAAACUGCCUGAUGGAGGGGGAUAACUACUGGAAACGGUAGCUAAUACCGCAUAACGUCGCAAGACCAAAGAGGGGGACCUUCGGGCCUCUUGCCAUCGGAUGUGCCCAGAUGGGAUUAGCUAGUAGGUGGGGUAACGGCUCACCUAGGCGACGAUCCCUAGCUGGUCUGAGAGGAUGACCAGCCACACUGGAACUGAGACACGGUCCAGACUCCUACGGGAGGCAGCAGUGGGGAAUAUUGCACAAUGGGCGCAAGCCUGAUGCAGCCAUGCCGCGUGUAUGAAGAAGGCCUUCGGGUUGUAAAGUACUUUCAGCGGGGAGGAAGGGAGUAAAGUUAA
Molecule: ribosomal RNA, 352 nt
Filed under: Escherichia coli
Lineage: Bacteria; Pseudomonadati; Pseudomonadota; Gammaproteobacteria; Enterobacterales; Enterobacteriaceae
Description: bacterial SSU rRNA
Rfam family: Bacterial small subunit ribosomal RNA
Source: RNAcentral